UACAGAGGUGGCAAGCGUUGUUCGGAAUUACUGGGCGUAAAGGGCGCGUAGGCGGCUCGACAAGUCCCGCGUGAAAGCCCCCGGCUCAACUGGGGAACUGCGCGGGAAACUGUCGGACUUGAGUUCGGGAGAGGGAAGCGGAAUUCCGGGUGUAGCGGUGAAAUGCGUAGAUAUCCGGAGGAACACCGGUGGCGAAAGCGGCGCACUGGACCACAUCUGACGCUGAGGCGCGAAAGCUAGGGGAGCAAACGGG
This 253-nucleotide ribosomal RNA is filed under the name uncultured bacterium. RNAcentral's name for it is "partial 16S ribosomal RNA". It matches the Rfam family "Bacterial small subunit ribosomal RNA", at positions 524 to 776 of the family's 1533-position model. The record is from RNAcentral.